RNAcentral lists this ribosomal RNA (253 nucleotides) under uncultured bacterium. Its description in RNAcentral is "partial 16S ribosomal RNA". It matches the Rfam family "Bacterial small subunit ribosomal RNA", at positions 524 to 776 of the family's 1533-position model. The record is from RNAcentral.
GACAGAGGGUGCAAACGUUGUUCGGAUUUACUGGGUUUAAAGGGUGCGUAGGUGGGUAGGUAAGUCAGCGGUGAAAUCUCCGAGCUUAACUCGGAAACUGCCAUUGAUACUAUCUAUCUUGAAUGUCCUGGAGGUGAGCGGAAUAUGUCAUGUAGCGGUGAAAUGCUUAGAUAUGACAUAGAACACCAAUUGCGAAGGCAGCUCACUACGGGAUUAUUGACACUGAGGCACGAAAGCGUGGGGAUCAAACAGG